RNAcentral lists this transfer RNA (71 nucleotides) under Gonium pectorale. It matches the Rfam family "tRNA". Rfam says of the family: Transfer RNA (tRNA) molecules are approximately 80 nucleotides in length. Their secondary structure includes four short double-helical elements and three loops (D, anti-codon, and T loops). The record is from Rfam by way of RNAcentral. Lineage: Eukaryota; Viridiplantae; Chlorophyta; Chlorophyceae; Chlamydomonadales; Volvocaceae.
GGAGUUUUGGUCUAGUGGUAUGAUUCUCGCUUUGGGUGCGAGAGGCCGCGGGUUCGAUUCCCGCAACUCCC